CACGUAGGGGGCGAGCGUUGUCCGGAUUUAUUGGGCGUAAAGAGCUCGUAGGUGGUUCGGUAAGUCGGGUGUGAAAACUCUGGGCUCAACUCAGAGACGCCACCUGAUACUGCUGUGACUUGAGUCUGGUAGGGGAGUGUGGAAUUCCCGGUGUAGCGGUGAAAUGCGCAGAUAUCGGGAGGAACACCAGUGGCGAAGGCGGCACUCUGGGCCAGUACUGACACUGAGGAGCGAAAGCGUGGGUAGCGAACAGG
This 254-nucleotide ribosomal RNA is filed under the name uncultured bacterium. RNAcentral's name for it is "partial 16S ribosomal RNA". It matches the Rfam family "Bacterial small subunit ribosomal RNA", at positions 524 to 776 of the family's 1533-position model. The record is from RNAcentral. RNAcentral also lists the same sequence under 1 other name.